ACUCAAAGGAAUUGACGGGGACCCGCACAAGCAGUGGAGCAUGUGGUUUAAUUCGAUGCAACGCGAAGAACCUUACCCAGACUUGACAUGCACAGGACAGUGUCAGAAAUGACAUCUCCCUUCGGGGCCUGUGCACAGGUGCUGCAUGGCUGUCGUCAGCUCGUGCCGUGAGGUGUUGGGUUAAGUCCCGCAACGAGCGCAACCCUUAUCAUUAGUUGCCAACACGUGAAGGUGGGAACUCUAAUGAGACUGCCCGGGUUAACCGGGAGGAAGGUGAGGAUGACGUCAAGUCCGCAUGGCCCUUAUGUCUGGGGCUACACACGUGCUACAAUGGCCGGUACAAAAGGCAGCGAAACUGUGAAGUGAAGCAAAUCCCGAAAGCCGGCCCCAGUUCAGAUUGUAGUCUGCAACUCGACUACAUGAAGAUGGAAUUGCUAGUAAUGGCGAGUCAGCAACAUCGCCGUGAAUACGUUCCCGGGUCUUGCACACACCGCCCGU
RNAcentral lists this ribosomal RNA (498 nucleotides) under uncultured bacterium. RNAcentral describes it as "partial 16S ribosomal RNA". It matches the Rfam family "Bacterial small subunit ribosomal RNA", at positions 899 to 1397 of the family's 1533-position model. The record is from RNAcentral.